Molecule: ribosomal RNA, 464 nt
Filed under: uncultured Methanolinea sp.
Lineage: Archaea; Methanobacteriati; Methanobacteriota; Methanomicrobia; Methanomicrobiales; Methanoregulaceae
Description: bacterial SSU rRNA
Rfam family: Archaeal small subunit ribosomal RNA
Source: RNAcentral
CGAACCACAACGGGUGGAGCCUGCGGUUUAAUUGGACUCAACGCCGGGCAGCUCACCGGAUAAGACAGCUGGAUGAUAGCCGGGCUGAAGACUCUGCUUGACUAGCUGAGAGGAGGUGCAUGGCCGUCGUCAGUUCGUACUGUGAAGCAUCCUGUUAAGUCAGGCAACGAGCGAGACCCACGCCAACAGUUGCCAGCAUGUCCUCCGGGAUGAUGGGGACACUGUUGGGACCGCCUCUGCUAAAGAGGAGGAAGGAAUGGGCAACGGUAGGUCAGCAUGCCCCGAAUUAUCCGGGCUACACGCGGGCUACAAUGGUCAGGACAAUGGGUAUCGACACCGAGAGGUGGAGGCAAUCUCCUAAACCUGUCCUUAGUUCGGAUUGUGGGCUGCAACUCGCCCACAUGAAGCUGGAAUCCGUAGUAAUCGCGUUCCAAAAUAGCGCGGUGAAUAUGUCCCUGCUCCUU